Molecule: ribosomal RNA, 857 nt
Filed under: Acinetobacter sp.
Lineage: Bacteria; Pseudomonadati; Pseudomonadota; Gammaproteobacteria; Moraxellales; Moraxellaceae
Description: bacterial SSU rRNA
Rfam family: Bacterial small subunit ribosomal RNA
Source: RNAcentral
GCUUAACACAUGCAAGUCGAGCGGAUGAAGGUAGCUUGCUACUGGAUUCAGCGGCGGACGGGUGAGUAAUGCUUAGGAAUCUGCCUAUUAGUGGGGGACAACGUUCCGAAAGGNGCGCUAAUACCGCAUACGUCCUACGGGAGAAAGCAGGGGACCUUNGGGCCUUGCGCUAAUAGAUGAGCCUAAGUCGGAUUAGCUAGUUGGUAGGGUAAAGGCCUACCAAGGCGACGAUCUGUAGCGGGUCUGAGAGGAUGAUCCGCCACACUGGGACUGAGACACGGCCCAGACUCCUACGGGAGGCAGCAGUGGGGAAUAUUGGACAAUGGGGGGAACCCUGAUCCAGCCAUGCCGCGUGUGUGAAGAAGGCCUUUUGGUUGUAAAGCACUUUAAGCGAGGAGGAGGCUACCUAGAUUAAUACUUUAGGAUAGUGGACGUUACUCGCAGAAUAAGCACCGGCUAACUCUGUGCCAGCAGCCGCGGUAAUACAGAGGGUGCGAGCGUUAAUCGGAUUUACUGGGCGUAAAGCGUGCGUAGGCGGCCAAUUAAGUCAAAUGUGAAAUCCCCGAGCUUAACUUGGGAAUUGCAUUCGAUACUGGUUGGCUAGAGUAUGGGAGAGGAUGGUAGAAUUCCAGGUGUAGCGGUGAAAUGCGUAGAGAUCUGGAGGAAUACCGAUGGCGAAGGCAGCCAUCUGGCCUAAUACUGACGCUGAGGUACGAAAGCAUGGGGAGCAAACAGGAUUAGAUACCCUGGUAGUCCAUGCCGUAAACGAUGUCUACUAGCCGUUGGGGCCCUUGAGGCUUUAGUGGCGCAGCUAACGCGAUAAGUAGACCGCCUGGGGAGUACGGUCGCAAGACUAA